RNAcentral lists this transfer RNA (74 nucleotides) under Tursiops truncatus (common bottlenose dolphin). Its description in RNAcentral is "tRNA-Sup (CTA) (tRNA-Sup-CTA-3-1)". It matches the Rfam family "tRNA". Rfam says of the family: Transfer RNA (tRNA) molecules are approximately 80 nucleotides in length. Their secondary structure includes four short double-helical elements and three loops (D, anti-codon, and T loops). Further hydrogen bonds mediate the characteristic L-shaped molecular structure. tRNAs have two regions of fundamental functional importance: the anti-codon, which is responsible for specific mRNA codon recognition, and the 3' end, to which the tRNAs corresponding amino acid is attached (by aminoacyl-tRNA synthetases). tRNAs cope with the degeneracy of the genetic code in two manners: having more than one tRNA (with a specific anti-codon) for a particular amino acid; and 'wobble' base-pairing, i.e. permitting non-standard base-pairing at the 3rd anti-codon position. The record is from Rfam by way of RNAcentral. Lineage: Eukaryota; Metazoa; Chordata; Mammalia; Artiodactyla; Delphinidae.
UCCCUGGCGGUCUAGUGGUUAGGACUCCAUGCUUCUACUGCAGGGGGGCCCAGGUUCAAUCCCUGGCUGGGGAA